RNAcentral lists this ribosomal RNA (433 nucleotides) under uncultured bacterium. RNAcentral describes it as "partial 16S ribosomal RNA". It matches the Rfam family "Bacterial small subunit ribosomal RNA", at positions 29 to 507 of the family's 1533-position model. The record is from RNAcentral.
AACGAACGCUGGCGGCAGGCCUAACACAUGCAAGUCGAGCGGACCCUUCGGGGUUAGCGGCGGACGGGUGAGUAACGCGUGGGAACGUGCCCUUUGCUUCGGAAUAGCCCUGGGAAACUGGGAGUAAUACCAGAUACGCCCUUUUGGGGAAAGAUUUAUCGGCGAAGGAUCGGCCCGCGUUGGAUUAGGUAGUUGGUGGGGUAAUGGCCUACCAAGCCGACGAUCCAUAGCUGGUUUGAGAGGAUGAUCAGCCACACUGGGACUGAGACACGGCCCAGACUCCUACGGGAGGCAGCAGUGGGGAAUCUUAGACAAUGGGGGAAACCCUGAUCUAGCCAUGCCGCGUGAGCGAUGAAGGCCUUAGGGUUGUAAAGCUCUUUCACCGGGGAAGAUAAUGACGGUACCCGGAGAAGAAGCCCCGGCUAACUCCGUG